CUAGCGAGAACCGCACGCUUUUUACGUGGGCAAAAAUCGAAAAACGAAACGAAAAUACGGGCAUAUGGUGGAUUAAUCGACGUUGCCGCGGUUGAAGGGUCGUCCCGUGACGUACCUCGGGGUUGCCUAGUAGGGUGCCACCCGGAAAUAUCACCUGCGGUACUGCCACCAGCCUUUUUUUCCUAUCGGUACUCGGCUCGUACCGAAACCAGAUGCUUCACUUUUCCCAAAGUAGAGCCUGUAGAAAAUAGUAAAGCAAUUGAAACAUAACCUACGACAAACUGAAACCAGAAAACGAUACAUUCCUUCAAAGACUUGAGUUAUAUUUUUACUAACGAAUAUAUUUUACUGUGUGAUUGUCUGGCGAAGUCACACUAGUAAUCUAACAAAAACCUAAAAAAGCAAAUUAAUAGAAGUUUUAACGAAAACACUAAUACCUCCUCGUAUAAAGUAGUGUCAGUUAUAAUCUAGUGCGCGAUUAUUCGAUGUGUACACAGUGAUGUCGACGCAAAAUUACUACAAGGAAAAGCUAGGAUUCGAUCCUAGGGAGUCCAUUUACAACGACGGACCUCCGGAAAAGUACAGGAGGACCGAGGAGGUUCCUCAUGGGUACGAAGAGAACCUUACCAAAUUUAAAGAUGAGAGAGACGCAGUACAAAAGAAGACGUUCACGAAAUGGGUCAACAAACAUCUGAAAAAGGUAAG
This is a long non-coding RNA of Sitophilus oryzae (rice weevil), 705 nucleotides long. RefSeq lists it as uncharacterized. Lineage: Eukaryota; Metazoa; Arthropoda; Insecta; Coleoptera; Curculionidae. The transcript is spliced from 3 exons. The record is from RefSeq and is a predicted model, not a curated record.